This 684-nucleotide ribosomal RNA is filed under the name uncultured bacterium. RNAcentral's name for it is "bacterial SSU rRNA". It matches the Rfam family "Bacterial small subunit ribosomal RNA", at positions 614 to 1297 of the family's 1533-position model. The record is from RNAcentral.
CUCGGAACUGCAUUUGAAACUGGUGAACUAGAGUACUGUAGAGGGGGGUAGAAUUUCAGGUGUAGCGGUGAAAUGCGUAGAGAUCUGAAGGAAUACCAGUGGCGAAGGCGGCCCCCUGGACAGAUACUGACACUCAGAUGCGAAAGCGUGGGGAGCAAACAGGAUUAGAUACCCUGGUAGUCCACGCCGUAAACGAUGUCUACUUGGAGGUUGUGGCCUUGAGCCGUGGCUUUCGGAGCUAACGCGUUAAGUAGACCGCCUGGGGAGUACGGUCGCAAGAUUAAAACUCAAAUGAAUUGACGGGGGCCCGCACAAGCGGUGGAGCAUGUGGUUUAAUUCGAUGCAACGCGAAGAACCUUACCUACUCUUGACAUCCAGAGAAGCCAGCGGAGACGCAGGUGUGCCUUCGGGAGCUCUGAGACAGGUGCUGCAUGGCUGUCGUCAGCUCGUGUUGUGAAAUGUUGGGUUAAGUCCCGCAACGAGCGCAACCCUUAUCCUUGUUUGCCAGCGAGUAAUGUCGGGAACUCCAGGGAGACUGCCGGUGAUAAACCGGAGGAAGGUGGGGACGACGUCUAGUCAUCAUGGCCCUUACGAGUAGGGCUACACACGUGCUACAAUGGCGCAUACAGAGGGCAGCAAGCUAGCGAUAGUGAGCGAAUCCCAAAAAGUGCGUCGUAGUCCGGA